RNAcentral lists this ribosomal RNA (490 nucleotides) under uncultured bacterium. Its description in RNAcentral is "partial 16S ribosomal RNA". It matches the Rfam family "Bacterial small subunit ribosomal RNA", at positions 30 to 507 of the family's 1533-position model. The record is from RNAcentral.
AUUGAACGCUGGCGGCAGGCCUAACACAUGCAAGUCGAACGGUAACAGGAAGCUGCUUGCUGCUUCGCUGACGAGUGGCGGACGGGUGAGUAAUGUCUGGGCAACUGCCUGAUGGAGGGGGAUCACUACUGGAAACGGUAGCUAAUACCGCAUAACGUCGCAAGACCAAAGAGGGGGACCUUUGGGCCUCUCGCCAUCGGAUGUGCCCAGAUGGGAUUAGCUAGUGGGUGGGGUAACGGCUCACCUAGGCGACGAUCCCUAGCUGGUCUGAGAGGAUGAACAGCCACACUGGAACUGAGACACGGUCCAGACUCCUACGGGAGGCAGCAGUGGGGAAUAUUGGACAAUGGGCGCAAGCCUGAUGCAGCCAUGCCGCGUGUAUGAAGAAGGCCUUCGGGUUGUAAAGUACUUUCAGCGGGGAGGAAGGGAGUAAAGUUAAUACCUUUGCUCAUUGACGUUACCAGCAGAAGAAGCACCGGCUAACUCCGUG